This 526-nucleotide long non-coding RNA is filed under the name Elaeis guineensis (African oil palm). RNAcentral describes it as "long non-coding RNA (EGUI_LNC019120)". The record is from RNAcentral. Lineage: Eukaryota; Viridiplantae; Streptophyta; Magnoliopsida; Arecales; Arecaceae.
GAGCCGAUGCCGCUCAUAGCAGGCUACAAGAUUUGCUGAGGCAAGAUGAAGGAGUGAAAGCCAUUUCAAGCCCAUUCAGAAGUUACAGACUUAUUAAAUCUCAAUGUAAUCAUGAACAGUAUCCGCUUGCAUCAGAACAAGACACCUAAACUUCGCCCGAGGUAGACAAAACUCCAAGCAGAGCCAACCUUCUUUGAAGAGAUUCCUGUAUAAAUGUCCAAAACGAAUCGAAAACACUAUUGUCCAAAAAAAAAAAAACCAUGGCUUAAGAAACACUUCCCUGAUCUGCCAAUCUUUUACCAUCAAACAAUUUCUUUCCUUCCAAAGAAGCCACAUGCAAAUCUUCCUUAGAAGAGCAACUCUAUCACCAAGUGGCCACAUGCCAUCUCCUGUCCUCAUCAUCUAAAGUAGCAGAGUAAAUCCUGAUCCCAGUAAACUCUCCUGAAUCCUCUCAGCUCUCGUACCACAGAAGCGUGUAUCGAGGAAAUCUAUGGGCAAGAACUCCUCCGGUACAACCUGGCACUUG